UUUUUUUUUUUCUUUUUUUUUUUCUUUUUUUUUAACCUCUUUUUUUAUUUUCUUUUUAAGUGAAGUUUCGGACUUUGAUGUAGUUGCACAGCUUGAAUUUGGUCGGGAGCUUAGCAGGGGUCAUGCAACAGAGCUCAGCGUUUCGUGUCAGCGAAUCCAUAUCCCAGGUUGUCUGAAGAACUGCCCCGGCUCGGGAUGGGGAGCGGGCAACGUGGUAGGAAAAUAGGUUGCCAUGGGGGGGGGGGGAGGGGGGAGGGUUUGCCGUGUAUCAAAGGCUUGACCCGCUAGUGGAAGCCUUUCAUUGUAAAAACCAGUGCUAGCGAUGAAGAAACCUGCAGCUUCAGUAAGGGAAAAGUCUUACCCCAGUGGGUUCUAUAUAAUAUAAUACACACACAUGCACGACCGCAGCCCGAUAGCUUUUGGAAGCAGCUCCUUUGCCCCGCCGGAGCUCCUGCCCCGUGGCCGGUGCCGGCGCCCAGUCAGCUCCCGUCUUCAGCAGAGAAGAGCGGACGAACAAAACCCUCGGCCCAGCCGGGGAUGUUUAAGGGACUUUUUGGGAAGUGGCCGCUGUGAAAGCGGGUUUGGUUUCGGGGUUUAUUUCAUUUCCUCUUCUUUUCUCCCCCACUUUUCCCCGGCUCUCGGUUUGAACAGGCUGCCCUUUCCCAAGGUGCGUACAGGAGAAGGACACCAGGGUUUAUAAUGUGAACUCAAAAAGUUACCGUUCAGGGCAGUGAUUCUGUUUAAUAAUCAGACAAAAUGUAGACGAGCUUUUUAAAGCCAUAUAGUUUUAACUCUGUACAGUAGGUACCGGCCUGUAUUAUUGUAACAAUAACUCUAGCGAUGUAUAGUGUAUCUAUAUAGUUUGGAGUGCCUUCGCUUCCAUGAUUUUUUGAAUUUUAUUUCCCUUUUUUUCCCUCCCCCUCCCCCCCUUUAUUAAUGAUGUCUCUCCCCUUCCUCCCUCCCCAAACCCGCAUCUUUGCUCCCCCCUCUGCUUUCUAACUCUUUGAGUGCUGUAAGGUUUCGGUGAUACCCUGAUCAGUAGCGGAACGAGAGGAAACCGUCUCCACCAUCAUCCAUUUCAUGGGAGCCGUGGCUUUGGGGAUGUCUCCAAGUUGCCCACCCUGCCCUCUCCUCCUCCCGCUAGCAGCCACCGCUUCCGUUCGGACACUUGCCCCAGAGCUCAUUUAGACUUUGCUCAUUGAUCCCCCCCCAGUUCUGCACCCGGGGCUCAUCCGGGCGGCAGCAGCUUCCAGGAGGCUCGGCCUUCCCACCCUCCCUGCGGCUGUGCCGGGGGCAGCGGCCGGGCCCCCAGCGAGGGAACCCCCUUCAUCCCGCAGGGAUGCUCCGCUCGGAGCCCCUCAGCCGCAGCGGGAGCGGGGGCAUCGCUGUAGGAGACUGUGGUGGUUUCUUCUGCCCAGGGGCACUUUGUGUUCCCUUCCUUCUCCUUGUUUUCCUGCCCCCCCCCCCACCCCUCCCCAAAGUCACUUUUUGUUUUCUUGAGAUAAGUUUAACAUGACUCUUGAUUUCUUGUGCCCAGCACGAAGGCCUUGUUUCUAAAACUAGUUUGCUUGUGUUUUACUACCUUGUUAGUAUUCCACAUAAGAUUGUCUUGAAUGGGAAAACACUUAACUCUUUACCAAACCAAAGGUUGCUGUUUUAUUUCGAAGCAUCUCGUGUUCAUUCCAGUGAAGCAGAGGCUGCACUUUCUUUCUGGUGACACGAAGGUCAGUGAUGCCAAGCUGUUGGUGACAGUCUGCUCAGAGCUGUCCCUCUCUUCUGUUACUCUCUUUCGGGCUUGUUUUUUAACCCAGUCUGGUCUUGAUCUGCCCUUUACAUCAGCCUUGCUGUGGCGUGGGUCUCUGAGCCGGACUCGAUCGCAGUCCGUCUGCCCCAGUGGACGCCUGAUCGAGACGCUGGUGUUCUUUAAUCUUACAUUUACCUACCUUGCUAGGGAAAGGAAAAAAACAAAAGACCUUCAAAAGAAAAUUGGCUGGUAGAAGAUCCCCAACACUUUGUCCUCUUAUUUCGAAGCCAAGCUUUAGCUAAAAUAACGGCAGGCGCCUGUAACUUGCAACUUAAAGUUCCCCACCCCUGGUUUUCAGUACUUGGAAAAGUAGAAUCCAAGCAGCCUGUCAGACUCGUGCUCCUGUACUGGGAACCUCAGCCACCGCAGAGGAAAAGGAAAAGCCGAUGAGGAAAAGCACAGUAGGGUGUUCGGUCCGGGCUCUGCCCCUGGGGCACUGCCAGCGCAUACCCCGGGGUGGCCGCUCACUUCCACGGGGCUCUCGGCCGGUUCUGGUCGUAGUUGGCUUCGUUUUGCAACCCCGCAAUAACAGCAAAACGGACAGGAAAGGAAAACAGUACCUAAGGGGUUAGCUCGAGAAAAGUAGCUUCCUUGUGUUGGUCUUUCUCCAUUUAUUUUUAAUAUAUAUAUAUAAAAAAUAUAUUUAUAUAUAUAUAAUUUGCUUGCCUGUAAAAUUUGCGUUCAUUCAUGUGUUGCUGAUGGAUCACUUGGGCCUGUACACACCAAUUAGCGUGACCACUUCCAUCUUAAAAAAACGGAAAUCUAAAAAAAAAAAUAUAUAUAUAUAUUAAGGACUGUGGGUUGUAUACAAACUAUUGCAUACACUUGUGCAAAUCUGUCUUGAUUUAAAGGAGAAGCAAAACCUGUAUAACAUUAUUACUACUUGAAUGCCUCUGUGACUGAUUUUAUUUUAUUUCUUUUUUUUUCUUUUUUUUUCUUUUUUUUUUUUUCAUUUGAAAUAUAAACUUUUUUUGUGGAAAGUAUGCUCAAUGUUUUAUUAUUUCCCCUGCCCCACUCCCCCUUGUAAAUACGUUUUGUUCUGUGUGACUCGGUUCGGAACUAGUUACCUGGUACUGUAAUUUGCAUUAAAUAAAACGUAGGUUAGCCUGGAAAUGAAAUUUAAAAAAUACCAAGUGUGUGGUCUUUAUUUCAAAACAAUUGCCCCUUUCUUUCCUCCUCCUCCUUCCCUUCUUUCCCUUCUCCUCGCCCUCACGCCUCUUUCCACUCCGCAAGAAUUAGGUGGACAUGAAUCUUUGUAAUGAUAAUGAAAAGGAAAAACCACAAGAAAUAAGCAUGUUUUCUUAACUGAGCUGUGUUAUUCCAUGCUGGUUUUCAAGAGAUGCCAGCUUGUCUCUGAUACCGUUUGAUUUGAUGGAGAGAGGAACCCUGGGACACAAAUAACUUCAAAUUAAAACCAACCAAUCUUCCUUCCCCGUCCACCUAUAGAUACGAACUUAAGAACCUGUGUAAAGCGCUGGCUUUGAAUCCUGCACUCAUGGUUGUUUGGGUUUGGUUUUCUUUUUCUCAUUUGAUCCCAUUAGUAAUGUUCUUUGGUGGUGAUCUGUAAAGUUUGUCGAGACCACGUCCAGUGGACCGUUCCUCCAGCAAAUCAGCAGUAGCUCUCUCUGGGUUGGGUUUCCGGUACUGGAUGAUGUGUGUGUUCAACAUGACGUGUCUAUUAGCGCAAAAGAUAAAACAAACCUCCUUGUUCUGGGCUGUGUGACCCGGCCGGGGCCGCUCUGUCGCUAUCCUAAAGGCUAGAUGCGAGGUCAUGUGACUGCUGCUUCAAUAAAAACAGAUUUAUAUUG
This 3612-nucleotide long non-coding RNA is filed under the name Strigops habroptila (Kakapo). RNAcentral's name for it is "lncRNA (ENSSHBG00005008686.1)". The record is from RNAcentral. Lineage: Eukaryota; Metazoa; Chordata; Aves; Psittaciformes; Psittacidae.